UAAACGAUGAAUACUCGCUGUUUGCGAUAUACAGUAAGCGGCCAAGCGAAAGCGUUAAGUAUUCCACCUGGGGAGUACGCCGGCAACGGUGAAACUCAAAGGAAUUGACGGGGGCCCGCACAAGCGGAGGAACAUGUGGUUUAAUUCGAUGAUACGCGAGGAACCUUACCCGGGCUUGAAUUGCAACCGAAUUACCUUGAAAGAGGUAAGCCGCAAGGCGGUUGUGAAGGUGCUGCAUGGCUGUCGUCAG
Molecule: ribosomal RNA, 250 nt
Filed under: uncultured bacterium
Lineage: Bacteria
Description: partial 16S ribosomal RNA
Rfam family: Bacterial small subunit ribosomal RNA
Source: RNAcentral